RNAcentral lists this ribosomal RNA (245 nucleotides) under uncultured bacterium. RNAcentral describes it as "partial 16S ribosomal RNA". It matches the Rfam family "Bacterial small subunit ribosomal RNA", at positions 109 to 354 of the family's 1533-position model. The record is from RNAcentral.
AGUAACGCGUGAGGAACCUGCCUCAGAGAGGGGGAUAACACACCGAAAGGUGUGCUAAUACCGCAUAACAUAUGAGAGGGGCAUCCCUUUUAUAUCAAAGAUUUAUUGCUCUGAGAUGGCCUCGCGUCCAAUUAGCUAGUUGGUGAGGUAACGGCCCACCAAGGCGACGAUUGGUAGCCGGACUGAGAGGUUGAACGGCCACAUUGGGACUGAGACACGGCCCAGACUCCUACGGGAGGCAGCAG